RNAcentral lists this ribosomal RNA (291 nucleotides) under uncultured microorganism. Its description in RNAcentral is "partial 16S ribosomal RNA". It matches the Rfam family "Bacterial small subunit ribosomal RNA", at positions 505 to 796 of the family's 1533-position model. The record is from RNAcentral.
GUGCCAGCAGCCGCGGUAAUACGUAGGGUGCGAGCGUUGUCCGGAUUUAUUGGGCGUAAAGAGCUCGUAGGCGGUUUGUCGCGUCGGCCGUGAAAACCUGCCGCUAACGGUGGGCGUGCGGUCGAUACGGGCAGACUUGAGUUCGGUAGGGGAGACUGGAAUUCCUGGUGUAGCGGUGAAAUGCGCAGAUAUCAGGAGGAACACCGGUGGCGAAGGCGGGUCUCUGGGCCGAUACUGACGCUGAGGAGCGAAAGCGUGGGGAGCGAACAGGAUUAGAUACCCUGGUAGUCC